CGAACAGUUCCGCAGGCCUUAUUUCCAAUGGAUCCCGACCAAACGCAUCGAAUGGGUUUGACUUUUGAGAGGAUAAGGAGAAUUUGACACUUGUUAACGGUCGGUUGACAAGCGUAACGAGAUGGGCAGCAGAGGAUGCUGGGGAACCGAUUUUAAUUACACGUAAUCUUUAUAAAUAGAAGCAGCAAGAGGCAGAAGGCAAUAACCGGCGAGGAUCCUCGGCCAUCCAAUAAUAAAAAAAUGCAGCUCACAGAACCAAGUACAAGUCGAAUGCAUAAAUCAAUAGUGCCUUGAGCUGUGGAAGGCAGUAAACACAGAUACCAGCUCACACAGAAGCCGAGAGCGAGAAAUGCCGGGACAAGCCAUAAAUGAGUAAUUGCUGACAACGCUGCAG
Long non-coding RNA from Drosophila elegans, 394 nucleotides. RefSeq lists it as uncharacterized. The transcript is spliced from 3 exons. NCBI's taxonomy places the organism in Eukaryota, Metazoa, Arthropoda, Insecta, Diptera, Drosophilidae. The record is from RefSeq and is a predicted model, not a curated record.